Molecule: long non-coding RNA, 222 nt
Organism: Eurytemora carolleeae
Lineage: Eukaryota; Metazoa; Arthropoda; Copepoda; Calanoida; Temoridae
Exons: 3
Source: RefSeq, a predicted model, not a curated record
AGUCAGGUUGGGUUAGUGGUGUUUGAUCGAGAAUAUCAUUUAACUAAAAACGGAAUCACAACUUUUAUACCGUCUGGAACCGAAUUUGGAGAUCCAAGCAGAGACCAGAAUAUUGGAGAAACACAUCUACCGUAUUCAGUUUUUCUGGACUACACUCUCUCUCUUGCCGCUACCAAGUAUAAAUCUAUUUCCAGCACGGCACAGUCUAUUCUAUCUUCACAG